Molecule: long non-coding RNA, 1869 nt
Organism: Phascolarctos cinereus (koala)
Lineage: Eukaryota; Metazoa; Chordata; Mammalia; Diprotodontia; Phascolarctidae
Source: Ensembl
AUGGAGAAGGUCGCUGGGUUCCCGUCCGCUGGGUUCGAGAACUGGCGACAGGAGCGGAUGCCGAGAAGGUGGCGGAAGCGAGGACGCCGCGGAUGUCAACCCAGAAGGCUGAAGAGGGAGAAUAAGAAGCGGAUCUCUCACUGUGUUUUUUCUUUAGCCUUUCUUAGUCUUGGCCUUGGGUGGGGAUUACCCGUUGGCGCCGAAGGGCGUUUGGCGAAACACCUGGUUGCACAGCUAAAUCACACUGCUAAGCCCUGGAAUAAUCUUAACCAGGAGUAUACCUAUUGGGCACUAGUACGACACUUCCCCCAACCACGUCCAGUUACUUGGAAUGGGGAUCCUGUUCCCCUAAUUGUGGUUUCCAAUGCAUCACUUCUUAUGGGCGAAGGGGUGGGACGGCCAGUUAUUUCCCAUCUUCAAAAUAAGACCAUUAUUAUGAGGAGUCCCACACUACCCAUUUGCCUCAGCAAAGGUACCCAUGCCGGUUGUGCUCGAGUAGAAAAUGAUACUAUCACUGAGUUACCGCAUGGACCCCACGGUUGGAUAGGGAAAGGGGAUCAUUUACACUUUUAUGUAUUGCAACAUCAGCAUAGUACUAUUAGCGGGUUUUUUCCCUCUCCACUCCCUCUUUGCACCCCUUCCCCUAACAUGUUUGCAGGCUUCCAAGUCUGUUCUACAGGGCAUCAAGUAGGUGGCGAAAACGUGAAUGGGACUCAACUCUACUUUCUGGAUGGACAACCGGGUCCUUGGUUUGCGGCCCCGGUACCCCAUGUGAGAAGCCCUCGAGGAGUUAUAGCCCAUGUACAUCUGUGGAAACUGGCUGCUGCCUUUGGCCCCUUGAUCCACUUCACAGAUAACAGUGCACCUCUAUCUGACAACAGCACUCUUCGGAACUGGUGGUGGGACUUGUUAUUUUCAGCAGGGCGUACUUGUAAAAGCCAUGGUCAAUCAGGACACUGUAAUGAUUUUAACGUAACCAUUCAGACGACUUCUGAUCGUGACAUGUUUUGGGUCUGUCGUAAUGGCACCAUCACUCCCUCCUCUGCAGAAUAUGCUGUGCACUGCUACAACGGAUCGUUCUCCAAUACCUUACAAUCUACCGACGUAGCCUCCACGGCCAACAUGGUCCUCCUUCUUCGAGUGCCGCCUAUUACCUUUGUGCCAGUAUUAACUACACAACCUUUUGCGCAAUCACCUAUAGAGAGAUUCCUAUUGCGCCGCUAUCGGAGAGAGUUGGGAAGUUUUGACCUCAUCAACCUUGCACUAAAUAUCGCUGAAGCAUUAGAUCUUGUUCUAGUGAACCAUCAAUUGAGUCUUCUAGCACGGCAUUUGGAGGAGUUUAUGGAAGAAACCACCCAAGCAUGGACUGUGCAACAACGAUUUAAUCGUCUCCUGUUAAAUAAAGUUGAGUUCAUGGCCACAGUAUUAGCUGAUACUGUGCUGGAGGUGACUAUUGCCGAAAAGCUUUCUACUGUUGAUUGUUCAUAUGAGUUUCAACCGCCCAUGUGUGUCACUGCACUUCAUCCUAACUCCUCCAUUGAUUCUUUAAUUAAGAACUUGACUGACUUUGAGCAAAUAGAAGAUUGCCUUGGUCAAUUGGACACUAUUUUGGAGCAUAUUCGCAAUGUCACCCGUCAAACAAGGGAUAAUCUCUUCCCUGAUUCCCCUUUCGAUCAAUUUUUCAACUGGUUACAUAACCUGGGAUUUUCGCAAUUCCUUCUUUGGCUCAUUUAUGGUGCAGGCUUCCUGAUCCUUAUCUGCUUUAUGGCCCCUUGCCUUUUCUUUUGUUGGCUCCGUGUGCUGCGACGCUCUCUUGAGAACGUCAAAGCCGACCUCUCCCUCCCUAAGAAAAACCCUGUCUUUGUUUAA